RNA transcript from Vitis vinifera (wine grape), 2607 nucleotides. It is a transcript of the gene named pentatricopeptide repeat-containing protein At3g42630, with no coding region annotated. The record is from RefSeq and is a predicted model, not a curated record. NCBI's taxonomy places the organism in Eukaryota, Viridiplantae, Streptophyta, Magnoliopsida, Vitales, Vitaceae. The transcript has 5 exons.
GCCCAAUUUGAUAGCCAUGACGAGCCCGAUUCCAACCCACGACGUGCAGAGCAGCAAACAAUGUAGUCCACGUUCGGCCCCAUCCAGACCCACUAAGGUCCCAUGAGAUCCGACAAAACCACCCUUCUUCCCAUCUCUCUACAGAGUACAGACCAGCUGAAAUGGAAGCUCUCCCUCUCAUCACUCCUCUCUGCCUCAUUGGGAGCCACAAAACGCAGCGUUUUAGGGUUUCUCUCCAUCAAAACUACUCCCCAAAUAGGGCUUUAGCUCGCAAGUUAUUCUGGCACUGGAAGCAGGAAAGAAGUGUUGAUGGCAAAGAUAAUUAUGUGGAUUAUACUCCUUUGAUACAAGCAUUAAGCAGAAAAAGGUUGCCUCAUGUCGCUCAGGAACUCUUAUUUGAGAUGAAAUCUGAAGGUUUUCUACCUAAUAAUUCUACCUUGUCUGCUCUAAUGCUGUGUUAUGCAGAUAAUGGUUUGUUUCCUAAAGCACAGGCUUUAUGGGAUGAAAUUAUAAAUAGUUCUUUUGGGCCUAAUAUUCAAAUAGUUUCAAAACUGAUUGAUGCUUAUGGUAAGAUGGGACAUUUUGGUGAAGUUACCAGAAUUUUGCAUCAGGUAAGUUCAAGGGAUUUCAACUUUAUGCAUGAAGUUUACUCAUUGGCUAUCUCUUGCUUUGGAAAGGGUGGACAACUUGAAAUGAUGGAAAAUGCAUUAAAGGAAAUGGUCUCAAGGGGUUUUCCAGUGGACUCUGCCACUGGAAAUGCAUUUAUUAGAUAUUAUAGCAUUUUUGGUUCUCUGACGGAAAUGGAAGCUGCUUAUGACCGCCUUAAAAAGUCUAGAAUCCUCAUAGAGGAAGAAGGAAUUAGGGCAAUGUCAUUUGCAUAUAUUAAGGAAAAGAAAUAUUAUAGAUUAGGUCAGUUUCUGAGGGAUGUUGGUCUUGGUAGGAAAAAUGUGGGAAAUCUUCUGUGGAAUCUUCUUCUGCUAUCCUAUGCUGCCAAUUUUAAAAUGAAAAGCUUGCAAAGAGAAUUUCUGGAAAUGGUGGAAGCUGGAUUUGCUCCUGACCUUACUACAUUUAACAUCCGGGCUCUGGCUUUUUCUAGGAUGUCUUUGUUCUGGGAUCUCCAUCUGAGCCUUGAGCAUAUGCAACAUGUAAAAGUUGUUGCUGACCUUGUGACUUAUGGCUGUGUUGUUGACGCAUACUUGGACAGAAGACUAGGAAAGAAUUUGGAUUUUGCUUUGAAAAAGAUGAAUAUGGAUGAUUCUCCUCUAGUGUCAACAGAUCACUUUGUGUUUGAAGUUUUGGGGAAAGGAGAUUUCCACUCAAGCUCAGAGGCAUUUUUGGAGUCUAAGAGGAAUGGUAAAUGGACUUACAGGAAGUUAAUUGCAACAUAUCUCAAGAAAAAAUAUCGGAGUAACCAAAUCUUUUGGAAUUAUUGAGAAAUGGUGGAUGAAGGUUUUCUCUACCUAAUGUAUGAGAAGAAAGAUCUUAUACUUCAGUAUUUUACUGCUUAUUUUUGAAUGUCAUAUAAUCUUCAGCUUUCACUUUGGCUUAUGGCACAAGAAGGUGAGAUAACCUGGGAUAUGUGCUCUUCUAGAUACUACUUAGAGGGAGGGACAUAUUGGGACAUGGUUGAGAUGGACAAGCUGACAAUGUCAUGUUGGAGGUUAAAAUAAUCUCAGCAUCUUGAAGUUUAACAGGAUCCUUCAUUCAAAAUCAUGAAGCAAUACAGGCAGAAAAGAUACUCCAUUUGGAAGAGACUACGUCCAUACCAUGCUUUGUGAUGCCCAUGACAAUCUCCCACUUUCAUUGGAGGAUGAUGAAAGGUCAAGUGAAUAGUUCAGCUCAGAUGACCUGCCUCCUGAUGAUGCAAAGCUUCUGCAGUCCAGUUCUGAGCCAUUUGACAGCCGAGUGUUCAGGUCAGAGCUGUUUGAAAGCCUAGGGUUCAUCUCUGAGCCAAUUGACAGCCGAGUGUUCAGGUCAGAGCUGUUUGAAAGCCUAGGGUUCAUCUCUGAGCUGUUUGAAAGCCAAGGGUUCAUUCCAGUGUCCAGAUUGUCAUACGAAAACGGGAAAAUGUGAUCGAUGCUUGGCCUUCCUGAGCUUACAAAUGAUAUAUCAGUUUCUGGCACUGAGAGCUCCCCAUAAGAUUUACUUAGUGAGGCUCUACCUCUAGUGAAGGGUGACCUGUUCCACAAGUUAUCAGAAAUGAAAGAAUGGAAGGUAUAGAGCUGCAGAACCCACAUCCUUGCGCAUACAAAAGCAUCGGAAUGGAAGAAACAACUCCCUGGCCUGAUUAUCAAGUUGCUGCUUGUAAGCUCUUGCAACAUCUUCAUUGACAUCGGAAAUGGCGACCUGAUUCCCCACUGCAUCCAUGAAAAGGAGAAAAAGGAUGAAGAAACAGAGUUGUGGAAGAAAUGCAGAAUGUGAGAGACUGAUGCUAUUUAUUAGAUUUUGUCAUUAAUGUUCCUUUUUUUUUUUUUUUUUUUUUUUACACUUUUAUUAGAUGGGGUUGCCUGUAUACCAGACAACAAUAGAAGCAUAUUCUAUCUUUUUCUAUCUAAAAACAAUAUAGUGAUUUUCCAAUGCAAUGCAUUCAUUUUCUUGGAAACUGAA